Molecule: long non-coding RNA, 1411 nt
Organism: Populus trichocarpa (black cottonwood)
Lineage: Eukaryota; Viridiplantae; Streptophyta; Magnoliopsida; Malpighiales; Salicaceae
Exons: 3
Source: RefSeq, a predicted model, not a curated record
AAAAUAAAAAUACAAAAUCGAGUCAAAGUCCUGCUUCAAUUAAAAAAUCAAACUUUUAAGCUUUUUGUGGAACCAAUUCUUCGAUCGAAUUUUUUAGAGUUGAUUUCAAUUUCGUUAUAAAGUCUGUGUUUGGAACAAGUUUCGAAAAUAAUUUCUUAUUUAGUAAAAUCAGGGGCAAAGUGGUUUCUUUUUCAAAAGAAAUAAGAGAGCGGCCGAUGGUGCUGGGGUCUAGCUAGCUGCGACGAUUUGUGACAGUGAAGGAUGUAAAAGUUUUCAAAUCAUUAAAUUCUAACAGUGGUUUCUUUGAUAAAUGUACUUGUUUUUGUUACAAGUUAUUUAAGAAGAAACUAUUUUUAAAUUACAACCCAAACUUAAAAAUCAAUUUUCAUAAAUCAUGCAAAUAUUGGAAUAAGCUCAUGUCUUCAGGUGCACCGACAAACAAAGCAUGCAGGGAGCAGAUUUCUUCUUAGCUAAAAACUACACACAUCAAGAACUGCUGCCGGCGAUUUUUAGCUGGCAACUCGCCAGCGUAGAAGUGGAAUAAGCUGUCUUGUUAUAAAUGCUGGAGCGCUAUCUUCAAAUUGAACAACCAGUUUCUAUACAGUAAUUUCCUGGAGUGACAAAAAAACAAAGGGAAGGUUUCUUCUUGCUAUAGCAACUGAAAAAAAGAAGAAAAAGAAUUCAAUUACUGAACAACGAGUAUGGACAAAAAUCACUCUACGCUCUGAUGGUAAGCAUCGUCAAUGUUAAUCCACCGAGUGUACCAACAUGGAUCAUAAGUCCAGGUCCCCUUUCGUUCCCGAUACUGAUCAGAUCAUCAAGAAGACUGCUUUCUAUCGUUGAUCUCACUUCAAAUCCAAUGAAGCCUAAGAUAAAUUUAUGUUACUAUAACCACAUAUGAAGAGAAAAGGACAUGAAGAGAAAAGGACAGUUCAAAUGGAGGGGGGAAAAGAGGGCAACCUUAAAUAAAUUCUCCAACUCGUAUACGCAGGGAAUAGAGAUUCUCAGGAAGAAAAAAACCAGAAGAAAGAAGAAAACGACAGCCAACAUCUAUCUUCGACCACCUUAACCCACUUAGCAAGGGACAAGCUUUCGUGAAACUGGUUUUUUACACUUCCAAUUGCGGGAUAGGUAGGGAGUUAGGCUGUUCGGUGGUAGCAGAGGGACCAUGUAACCUAACAGUAGGUGGCAGGUAUCGAAGAUUCAUGAUAAACGUUCUGCUCUUGUGUCCUUAAAGCUUACCUAAUGGUCCAAAGAGCACUUCCACAGGGUGUACUCACUGCUGACACUGGAAAUCUUGAGUUUUCUUUUUUUGUUUAAACAAAAAGGAUAACAGAGACUGCAUCUUUACUUGUAUGACGAUUCUGUGUUUAUAAUUUGAUUUAGAAAAUGCAUGUGUGACCAUUGCAUC